UGCAAGUCGAACGAUGAACUCCCAUGCUUGCAGGGGGGGAUUAGUGGCGAACGGGUGAGUAACACGUGAGUAACCUGCCCUGGACUCUGGGAUAACCCCGAGAAAUCGGAGCUAAUACCGGAUAGGACCCUGUACCGCAUGGUGUGGGGUGGAAAGUUUUUCGGUCUGGGAUGGACUCGCGGCCUAUCAGCUUGUUGGUGAGGUAAUGGCUCACCAAGGCGUCGACGGGUAGCCGGCCUGAGAGGGUGACCGGCCACACUGGGACUGAGACACGGCCCAGACUCCUACGGGAGGCAGCAGUGGGGAAUAUUGCACAAUGGGCGCAAGCCUGAUGCAGCAACGCCGCGUGCGGGAUGACGGCCUUCGGGUUGUAAACCGCUUUUAGUAAGGAAGAAGGGGAGCUUGCUCCUUGACGGUACUUGCAGAAAAAGGACCGGCUAACUACGUGCCAGCAGCGGGGGGUAAAUUC
This 469-nucleotide ribosomal RNA is filed under the name Agromyces sp. YN-4. RNAcentral describes it as "bacterial SSU rRNA". It matches the Rfam family "Bacterial small subunit ribosomal RNA", at positions 56 to 526 of the family's 1533-position model. Lineage: Bacteria; Bacillati; Actinomycetota; Actinomycetes; Micrococcales; Microbacteriaceae. The record is from RNAcentral.